GUACUUACCUGGCAGGAGAGACACCAUGAUCAAUAAGGUGGUUCACCCAGGGUGAGGCUUGGCCAUUGCACUCUGGUUUGUGCUGACCUCUGCGAAUUCCCCAAAUGUGGGAAUCUUGACUGCAUAAUUUCAA
Sinocyclocheilus grahami is the source of this 133-nucleotide small nuclear RNA. Its record names the gene U1. It matches the Rfam family "U1 spliceosomal RNA". Rfam says of the family: U1 is a small nuclear RNA (snRNA) component of the spliceosome (involved in pre-mRNA splicing). Its 5' end forms complementary base pairs with the 5' splice junction, thus defining the 5' donor site of an intron. There are significant differences in sequence and secondary structure between metazoan and yeast U1 snRNAs, the latter being much longer (568 nucleotides as compared to 164 nucleotides in human). The record is from Ensembl. Lineage: Eukaryota; Metazoa; Chordata; Actinopteri; Cypriniformes; Cyprinidae.